CCUACGCGAGGCUGCAGUAGGGAAUAUUGCUCAAUGGGGGAAACCCUGAAGCAGCAACGCCGCGUGGAGGAUGAAGGUUUUAGGAUUGUAAACUCCUUUUGUUAGAGAAGAUUAUGACGGUAUCUAACGUAUAAGCACCGGCUAACUCCGUUCCAGCCGCCGCGGUAAUACGGAGGGUGCAAGCGUUACUCGGAAUGACUGGGCGGAAAGAGUGCGUAGGCGGGGUAAUAAGUCAGAUUUGAAAUCCUGUAGCUUAACUACAGAGCUGUAUUUGAAACUGUUACUCUGGAGUGUGGGAGAGGUAGGUGGAAUUCUUGGUGUAGGGGUAGAAUCCGUAGAUAUCAAGAGGAAUACUCAUUGCGAAGGCGACCUGCUGGAACAUUACUGACGCUGAUGCACGAAAGCGUGGGGAGCAAACAGGAUUAGAUACCCGAGUAGUC
This 440-nucleotide ribosomal RNA is filed under the name uncultured bacterium. RNAcentral's name for it is "partial 16S ribosomal RNA". It matches the Rfam family "Bacterial small subunit ribosomal RNA", at positions 338 to 795 of the family's 1533-position model. The record is from RNAcentral.